Oncorhynchus masou masou (cherry salmon) is the source of this 3022-nucleotide long non-coding RNA. RefSeq lists it as uncharacterized. The record is from RefSeq and is a predicted model, not a curated record. The transcript has 7 exons. Lineage: Eukaryota; Metazoa; Chordata; Actinopteri; Salmoniformes; Salmonidae.
UGGGGAAGCUUACAAUUUAUCCUACCAUUUCAACCGUUCUGCGUAUAUGCACAUUUUCAUGGAACAGUUUAAUUUCAAUAAUAAUGUUUUAGUUUCUCAAAAUUAUUAUUACGUGGUUGGACAUAAAAAAAAAGAAUACAUUUUUUUUUGCAAAAAAACAAAAAAAAAACAGGAGACACGUAGUGAACAUGACAAAAACUAAUACUGCCUGAUGACUGAGGCUACUGAGGGCUAAAUAAAGGGAGGGUAAUCAGGGUGAUGAGGUCCAGGUGUGUGUAAUGAGGGUUGCCAGGACCGGUGGCUAGUAGACUGGCGACAUAGAGCGCUGGAGCAGGGGAGUGGGAGUAGGUGUGAUGGGACCGGUGGUUAGUAGGUGAUGUAGAGUGUUGGAGCAGGGGAGUGGGAGUAGGUGUGAUGGGACCGGUGGUUAGUAGACAGGUGAUGUAGAGUGUUGGAGCAGGGGAGUGGGAGUAGGUGUGAUGGGACCGGUGGUUAGUAGACAGGUGACGUAGAGUGUUGGAGCAGGGGAGUGGGAGAAGGUGUGAUGGGACCGGUGGUUAGUAGGUGAUGUAGAGUGUUGGAGCAGGGGAGUGGGAGUAGGUGUGAUGGGACCGGUGGUUAGUAGACAGGUGAUGUAGAGUGUUGGAGCAGGGGAGUGGGAGUAGGUGUGAUGGGACCGGUGGUUAGUAGGUGAUGUAGAGUGUUGGAGCAGGGGAGUGGGAGUAGGUGUGAUGGGACCGGUGGUUAGUAGGUGAUGUAGAGUGUUGGAGCAGGGGAGUGGGAGUAGGUGUGAUGGGACCGGUGGUUAGUAGACAGGUGACGUAGAGUGUUGGAGCAGGGGAGUGGGAGAAGGUGUGAUGGGACCGGUGGUUAGUAGACAGGUGAUGUAGAGUGUUGGAGCAGGGGAGUGGGAGAAGGUGUGAUGGGACCGGUGGUUAGUAGGUGAUGUAGAGUGUUGGAGCAGGGGAGUGGGAGAAGGUGUGAUGGGACCGGUGGUUAGUAGGUGAUGUAGAGUGUUGGAGCAGGGGAGUGGGAGAAGGUGUGAUGGGACCGGUGGUUAGUAGGUGAUGUAGAGUGUUGGAGCAGGGGAGUGGGAGAAGGGGUGAUGGGACCGUGGUUAGUAGGUGAUGUAGAGUGUUGGAGCAGGGGAGUGGGAGAAGGGGUGAUGGGACCGGUGGUUAGUAGACAGGUGAUGUAGAGUGUUGGAGCAGGGGAGUGGGAGUAGGUGUGAUGGGACCGGUGGUUAGUAGGUGAUGUAGAGUGUUGGAGCAGGGGAGUGGGAGUAGGUGUGAUGGGACCGGUGGUUAGUAGACAGGUGAUGUAGAGUGUUGGAGCAGGGGAGUGGGAGUAGGUGUGAUGGGACCGGUGGUUAGUAGGUGAUGUAGAGUGUUGGAGCAGGGGAGUGGGAGAAGGGGUGAUGGGACCGGUGGUUAGUAGACAGGUGAUGUAGAGUGUUGGAGCAGGGGAGUGGGAGAAGGUGUGAUGGGACCGGUGGUUAGUAGGUGACGUAGAGUGUUGGAGCAGGGGAGUGGGAGUAGGUGUGAUGGGACCGGUGGUUAGUAGGUGACGUAGAGUGUUGGAGCAGGGGAGUGGGAGAAGGUGUGAUGGGACCGGUGGUUAGUAGACAGGUGACGUAGAGUGUUGGAGCAGGGGAGUGGGAGUAGGUGUGAUGGGACCGGUGGUUAGUAGACAGGUGACGUAGAGUGUUGGAGCAGGGGAGUGGGAGAAGGUGUGAUGGGACCGGUGGUUAGUAGACAGGUGACGUAGAGUGUUGGAGCAGGGGAGUGGGAGUAGGUGUGAUGGGACCGGUGGUUAGUAGACAGGUGACGUAGAGUGUUGGAGCAGGGGAGUGGGAGUAGGUGUGAUGGGACCGGUGGUUAGUAGGUGACGUAGAGUGUUGGAGCAGGGGAGUGGGAGAAGGUGUGAUGGGACCGGUGGUUAGUAGACAGGUGACGUAGAGUGUUGGAGCAGGGGAGUGGGAGUAGGUGUGAUGGGACCGGUGGUUAGUAGGUGACGUAGAGUGUUGGAGCAGGGGAGUGGGAGAAGGUGUGAUGGGACCGGUGGUUAGUAGACAGGUGAUGUAGAGUGUUGGAGCAGGGGAGUGGGAGAAGGUGUGAUGGGACCGGUGGUUAGUAGGUGACGUAGAGUGUUGGAGCAGGGGAGUGGGAGAAGGUGUGAUGGGACCGGUGGUUAGUAGACAGGUGAUGUAGAGUGUUGGAGCAGGGGAGUGGGAGAAGGUGUGUCCUGUAUUGUCCUGUCCUGUCGUCUACUGUCCUGUUCUGUCCUGUCGUGUACUGUAUUGUACUGUCCUGUCCUGUAUUGUCCUCUACUGUCAUGUUCUGUCCUCUACUUCCCUGUUCUGUCCUCUACUGUCCUGUUCUCUACUGUCCUGUUCUGUCCUCUACUGUCCUCUACUGUCCUCUACUGUCCUGUUCUGUCCUCUACUGUCCUGUUCUGUAUUGUACUGUCCUGUUCUGUAUUGUACUGUCCUGUACUGUCCUGUCCUGUCCUGUACUGUCCUGUCCUCUACUGCCCUGUACGGUCCUGUCCUCAACUGUACUGUCCUCAACUGUCCUCAACUGUCCUGUCCUGCACUGUAUUGUACUGUCCUCUACCGUCCUGUCAUGUCCUGCCCUGUCCUCUACUGCCCUGUCCUCUACUGCCCUGUCCUCUACUGCCCUGUCCUCUACUGCCCUGUCCUGUACUGUCCGGUCCUGUACUGUCCGGUCCUGUCCUCUACUGCCCUGUCCUGUACUGUACUGUACUGUACUGUCCUGUCCUCUACUGUCCUGUCCUCUACUGUCCUGUCCUGUCCUCUACUGUCCUGUCCUGUCCUCUACUGUCCUGUCCUGCACUGUCCUGUCCUGUCCUGUCCUGUACUGUCCUGUACUGUCCUGUACUGUCCUGUCCUCUACUGUCCUGUACUGUCCUGUCCUGUCCUCAACUGUAAUGUCCUGUCCUGUCCUCUACUUCCCUGUACGGUCCUGUCCUCAACGGUACUGUCCUCUACUGCCCUGUCCUC